RNAcentral lists this ribosomal RNA (253 nucleotides) under uncultured bacterium. RNAcentral's name for it is "partial 16S ribosomal RNA". It matches the Rfam family "Bacterial small subunit ribosomal RNA", at positions 524 to 776 of the family's 1533-position model. The record is from RNAcentral.
UACGUAGGGGGCUAGCGUUGUCCGGAAUCAUUGGGCGUAAAGAGCGUGUAGGCGGUCCGGUAAGUCAGCUGUGAAAGUCGGGGGCUCAACCCUCGAAUGCCGGUGGAUACUGUCGGGCUAGAGUGCGGAAGAGGCGAGUGGAAUUCCUGGUGUAGCGGUGAAAUGCGCAGAUAUCAGGAGGAACACCUAUUGCGAAGGCAGCUCGCUGGGACGUAACUGACGCUGAGACGCGAAAGCGUGGGGAGCAAACAGG